This is a long non-coding RNA of Eupeodes corollae, 691 nucleotides long. RefSeq lists it as uncharacterized. Lineage: Eukaryota; Metazoa; Arthropoda; Insecta; Diptera; Syrphidae. The record is from RefSeq and is a predicted model, not a curated record. The transcript is spliced from 3 exons.
CUAGUUCGUUGGGGCAAUGACUGCAAUCAUCAUCAUCAUUACAUGAUUGAUAAAUAUGAACGUAGUAUUAUGGAAAAUUUCUAUUUUUAUUUCAUCAUCACAAACGAUUUUAGUGUCAGCAUAAGAUUAUUCAUAGCUUAAUAAAUUAAUUCAUGUGGUAAGCUAUAAAUCAAUUGCUUAUUAUGGGAAGGCUGUUAUUAAAGUAAUAUCAAACUAGGGGCAUUUAUUUGAAUAUCUAAAAAGUCAUACAUUGAAAAUAGUUCCAGUUCCUGUUGGUCGAAAGAAAAGUGGAAAAGUUUGAAAUUGAAUGUUAUCAGCUCAUGUUGUUUCUGACAUUGUGCACGGACAACAACAACCCGAAUAUAAAGCGUGAGAAAGUGAAUAGAUUUUAGAUCAGAUCUUUUUUAGUCGCGGAGCACUAUUUGCGUUGGAAAUUAAACGCGGAGAACUUUGAAGCGCAUAGGCCAUUUUUCGUAGUUACAUGUAGCAAAUUAAAUAUCUUUUUUUUUAAUUUCGUUUAUUUUCUUGAAUUCAGGAAACAAUUCUUACGACGAAAAACACAAGAACAUUGUUAACUUAACUUUAUAAGGAAUUACAUAAUUAUAUUAUAUGCAUUAUAAUUAUAUGGAGUUUCUUUUUAGUGGGAAUAAUGAGGCUGCUUAUUUUUGCAUAAAGCUGGAAUAUCUGGUUG